CAGCACUUUCUGGUUAAACACUGAUCAUGAAGACGAUAUAUCGAUAAAACUGUAUGGUUUAUCGAUAGAAUCGAGUUAGUUAAGUAUCGAUAAUAUCGUCCACCUUUAACAGUGACUCUACUACUGAUCAAGGAAUCAGAUUUGAGUUUAUCAAAGGACAGGCAAUAAAUUGAAUCAUGUGGUGGGCUGUUGUUCCAUCAGUGGCAGCUCUUGGAGUCACUGUGUUAGCACCUACAGCUUUGGGCCCAAUUUGUAAAUGGUGGACAUUCGGGAUUGCUAGAGACCGAUCUAUCUGGGAGGGGACAGGAUCUUGCAUUUGUGCGUCGGGAUAAAAGAUUGUGUCCAAUACCAGGAAAAAUUUACCACAACACAACUAGGUUGUUUGAUGAGGAAGAUCUUCCAGUUGAAUCAAAAUGAGUACCAUUAAUCUAGUGUAACUACUGUAAUAGUGUAUAAUAAAUAAAUACCACGUAAUGAGAGGAAAUUUUAAUAUAAUUUACAGUUAUUUGCAUAAGUUCACGUUAUUGUUCACCCGAUUAUUGUAACUAUAGACUACUCGGUAAUCCAUUUUGAAUGUUUCAUUACAAUGAGGUGAAUAAUCUCGACAUGUAAUUUUUCAUGUAAAACAUCCCAGUGUUAUUACCAAAGAUGUGCAUUAAGUUAUUGAAUAGAUGAUCUUGAAUAAUGA
Molecule: long non-coding RNA, 688 nt
Organism: Tetranychus urticae (two-spotted spider mite)
Lineage: Eukaryota; Metazoa; Arthropoda; Arachnida; Trombidiformes; Tetranychidae
Source: RefSeq, a predicted model, not a curated record